GCCCUGUGAUUAAAAUAAUAAAAUAGGGCGCAUCAGUGCUCAAUGGGUUAGAGAUGAACAGACGGUCAAGUCUGUUAUGCACAUAUGUACCUUCUGAUGUAAACAAUUGGUAACAUCAAGGUGUUAUACAUAGGGUUAUACAUGGUGGUCAACAUUACAUGUAUCAACACUAAUGACUUCGGGAGCAAGCAAAUGAGGCUAAA
This is a non-coding RNA of Paramuricea clavata, 203 nucleotides long. NCBI's taxonomy places the organism in Eukaryota, Metazoa, Cnidaria, Anthozoa, Malacalcyonacea, Plexauridae. The record is from the annotation of a GenBank genome assembly.